AACGAGCGCUGGCGGCAUGCCUAACACAUGCAAGUCGAACGAGACCUUCGGGUCUAGUGGCGCACGGGUGCGUAACGCGUGGGAAUCUACCCUUGGGUUCGGAAUAACAGUUAGAAAUGACUGCUAAUACCGGAUGAUGACGUAAGUCCAAAGAUUUGUCGCCCAAGGAUGAGCCCGCGUAAGAUUAGCUUGUUGGUGGGGUAAUGGCCUACCAAGGCGACGAUCUUUAGCUGGUCUGAGAGGAUGAUCAGCCACACUGGGACUGAGACACGGCCCAGACUCCUACGGGAGGCAGCAGUGGGGAAUAUUGGACAAUGGGCGAAAGCCUGAUCCAGCAAUGCCGCGUGAGUGAUGAAGGCCUUAGGGUUGUAAAGCUCUUUUACCAGGGAUGAUAAUGACAGUACCUGGAGAAUAAGCUCCGGCUAACUCCGUGCCAGCCGCCGCUGUAA
This 449-nucleotide ribosomal RNA is filed under the name uncultured bacterium. RNAcentral describes it as "partial 16S ribosomal RNA". It matches the Rfam family "Bacterial small subunit ribosomal RNA", at positions 29 to 523 of the family's 1533-position model. The record is from RNAcentral.